Bartonella taylorii 8TBB is the source of this 91-nucleotide non-coding RNA. Lineage: Bacteria; Pseudomonadati; Pseudomonadota; Alphaproteobacteria; Hyphomicrobiales; Bartonellaceae. The record is from Rfam.
UGUCGGGUGUGGUUACGCUAUACAAUACCCUUACGGGAAAAGCGUAACGACGGACUAUUGGCCGUGUUUUUCAGCACCCGGCACUCUUUUC